RNAcentral lists this ribosomal RNA (218 nucleotides) under uncultured bacterium. RNAcentral's name for it is "partial 16S ribosomal RNA". It matches the Rfam family "Bacterial small subunit ribosomal RNA", at positions 1283 to 1500 of the family's 1533-position model. The record is from RNAcentral.
GUUACUCAGUUCAGAUUGCAGGCUGCAACCCGCCUGCAUGAAGUCGGAAUUGCUAGUAAUCGCGGAUCAGCAUGCCGCGGUGAAUACGUUCCCGGGGCCUUGUACACACCGCCCGUCACACCAUGGGAGCCGGUAAUACCCGAAGUCAGUAGUCCAACCACGUGAGGACGCUGCCGAAGGUAGGAUUGGCGACUGGGGUGAAGUCGUAACAAGGUACC